Long non-coding RNA from Papaver somniferum (opium poppy), 2495 nucleotides. RefSeq lists it as uncharacterized. The record is from RefSeq and is a predicted model, not a curated record. The transcript has 10 exons. NCBI's taxonomy places the organism in Eukaryota, Viridiplantae, Streptophyta, Magnoliopsida, Ranunculales, Papaveraceae.
CUCCCUGUCUUUGUUCUCUCCGUCUCUUAGAAACUUUUGCUCUGCAACUUCAUCUCAAACUCAGAAAAUAAACCUCAAACUCAGAAAAUAAACCCCAACUUCAUAGAAGAAGAGUUCGUAUCAAACACUCAUAUUUCUCAGCUUCACCCUCAGUAGUUGCGUACGUGUCGAAGGAGGUGAAGACCAAUUUGUCUGCAAUGGUAAACAAAAAGGUUAUCAACGAAGCACAGAGCAACAAGUCGGUCCCAACUCCCAAAAAGGUAGUAAACAAGAAGCCAAAAGCGUCUGUUUGUCUCCUUUCAAGAUCAUCUUAAAAGACAAGAGUAAAAAGUCUCAUGCCAAACAAACUCCUAAGAAGAAGAAGAAGAGUUCAGAGCGUCCUGAUAGCGGAAAGAGUCCAAGACGAUCAUCCCCUAGGUUUAAGAACACUCCAGAGGAACCUCAUAAUGCUGAAAAGACUACUCAGAACAGUUUAGAGGAACCACAUGUUGCUGAAAAGACUACUCUAACACGAUCGUCGCCUCGGAAAACUAAAAAUGCAGUUGAACCAGCCGCUGAAAAGACAACUCCAACACGAUCAUCACCUAGGAAAAGGAAAAGUUCAUCUGAACCAGAACAAUCUCAACCAUUACAGUCCACAUCAUGAGCAUCUCAAGCUGCACCUUGUAGUGAAGUUGUUCACAAUCAGAAAAGUGCAAAGCGGAAAUUGUACUCAGGGCCAUGUCCGAAUGUGCAACUCAGGAAUGUGAAUGAUACUUUCUCAGAUCUUCAAGACGAGAAAGAAGAUGAAGAUGAUGAACAAGAAGAGAAGGAAAAUUAAGAGGUGGAGAAUGAUGACAAGGAAAAUGAGAACGAUGGCGAGCACCAUGACGUGGGAAAUGAAAAUGAAACAAAAGUUGAGGCAAAACCCAAAAGAAAGUACGUUCCACGUGACCCAACAAGGAUGAGUGCACUAGGGCUAACAUCUGAUAAGAAUGGCAAGGAACCUGUUAGCUUUAACAGUAAGGAUCAGCCCAUUGGUGAUCCUUCGGUGCAGCUUGAAAGUGUGUUGGGAGUUUUAGUUAGGCGAAACAUCCCAUUAAAACACAAGGAUUGGAGACUUGUCCAUAAAGAAGCCAAAGAUAACAUACGGUCGAUUGUCAUGCAAAGGUUUGUUAUCGAUGAGUUUUACAAAGACUACUAUCUUGGGAAGAUGGGAUGUUAUCUUAAAGAGGCUAGGUCAAGGGAAGCCGGUAAGAUACUCGCCUUAGAUGAGCUAGAGGAAGAAGUUAGAGAGAAGAGGCUGGCAGCACUGAAACCAGAGAAUGACACUGUUAAUGAGUGGGAAGAAUUCGUAAAACAUGUUUGCUCGGAGGAAUUCAGAACAAAAAGAUUGCGGAUGUAACAAAUUAGACAGAAACACACCACUCCACACACUAUCAGCAGACUAGGUUAUGCGAGACUCGAGGAUAAAAUGGAACGGAAAACACAAGAAGAGAUUGAUAGAGUCUAAAUUUGGACAACGGGUCACAAACAGAAGGAAGGAAAGGAACCUAAUCCUGGUGUUGUGGCGGCUUUGGAAAAUAUUCAAAGAGCAGCAGAAGAGCAUGGUGCUGAUGUUGGAUCAUCUGUGACAGAUGAUCUUCUUUCCAAAGCUCUUGGUGACGACAAACCAGGAAAACUGAGAGGAAUUGGGUAUGGAGCGACAAAGACAAAGAUGGCUGUCAAGACCCAUUAUAAGAAGAUUAUCAAAGAGUGUCGGGACAGUAUGAAGGAAGUGAACGAGAGACUUGCACAGUUAGAGGAAAAGACGUCGAGCUGUGUCUGCCAUGGUGGCUCACACUUGCACAACGUCAGUUCAAAGGUCAGUGUGUUUAUAUUUUUGUACACUUGCACAUUGCGAGUUCAAAUUUAUUUCUUUGCAUUAUUCCAAUUUAUUAUGUUGGUUUUGUUGUAUUUAUCAUAUAGUCUGGAAAUGCUAGCAAUGUUAUUGCUAGCACUAGCAUUACUAUUCCCUACCAUGAAAAUGACAGUCCAAUCAGCAGACCAAGGGUGGAGGAAGUGCUAGGGAAGGGUAAAGCUUGCAGGUUACUCAGUUGGUAUAAUGAGAACGAGGUUGUUGCUGACGCGGUUAUUGCUGAAACAGAUCCAAAGAUGGAGUGUCAUGUAUUUCCAAUAGGUUUUGCAUCAUACAAAGUAACUGUGAUUACGUCUCAUGUGGAUGAUGCCAUUCUCUACAAGCAAUCCGGUGAGUUGAAGCGUGUAAUAGACGUUGUAGGAACUUAUACCACAUGGGCCAAGGAUCUGAUAUUGCCUGCCAUCUGACUUGUUAUUCUGUUUGGGGCUUGUUGAAAAAACAAUUUGGUUCUUUUUUUGGUUCUCUUAUCAGUCAAACUGUUGCUCUUAUCAGUGAAACAAUGUGUGUGUGUGUUUUUUUUUAUGUGGAAACAAUGUUUCAGGAAUCAUUCAAGGGUGUGAAUGAUCUUGCAGGUUUUAGUGCUUCAUAUUUGAAUGAA